RNAcentral lists this ribosomal RNA (251 nucleotides) under uncultured bacterium. Its description in RNAcentral is "partial 16S ribosomal RNA". It matches the Rfam family "Bacterial small subunit ribosomal RNA", at positions 793 to 1055 of the family's 1533-position model. The record is from RNAcentral.
GUCCACGCCGUAAACGAUGGAUACUAGCUGUUCGGAGCAAUCUGAGUGGCUAAGCGAAAGUGAUAAGUAUCCCACCUGGGGAGUACGCACGCAAGUGUGAAACUCAAAGGAAUUGACGGGGGCCCGCACAAGCGGUGGAGCAUGUGGUUUAAUUCGAUGAUACGCGAGGAACCUUACCAAGGCUUAAAUGUAGAUUGACAGGACUGGAAACGUUUUUCUCGGACAUUUACAAGGUGCUGCAUGGUUGUCGU